AGCGAACGCUGGCGGCAGGCUUAACACAUGCAAGUCGAGCGGGCACUUUCGGGUGUCAGCGGCGGACGGGUGAGUAACGCGUGGGAACGUGCCCUCUGGUUCGGAAUAACUCAGGGAAACUUGAGCUAAUACCGGAUACGCCCUUUUGGGGAAAGGCUUGCUGCCGGAGGAUCGGCCCGCGUCUGAUUAGCUAGUUGAUGAGGUAACGGCUCACCAAGGCGACGAUCAGUAGCUGGUCUGAGAGGAUGAUCAGCCACACUGGGACUGAGACACGGCCCAGACUCCUACGGGAGGCAGCAGUGGGGAAUAUUGGACAAUGGGCGCAAGCCUGAUCCAGCCAUGCCGCGUGAGUGAGGAAGGCCUUAGGGUUGUAAAGCUCUUUUAUCCGGGACGAUAAUGACGGUACCGGAGGAAUAAGCCCCGGCUAACUUCGUGC
RNAcentral lists this ribosomal RNA (436 nucleotides) under uncultured bacterium. RNAcentral's name for it is "partial 16S ribosomal RNA". It matches the Rfam family "Bacterial small subunit ribosomal RNA", at positions 29 to 508 of the family's 1533-position model. The record is from RNAcentral.